Triticum aestivum (bread wheat) is the source of this 1668-nucleotide RNA transcript. It is a transcript of the gene named F-box protein At5g49610, with no coding region annotated. Lineage: Eukaryota; Viridiplantae; Streptophyta; Magnoliopsida; Poales; Poaceae. The record is from RefSeq and is a predicted model, not a curated record. The transcript has 2 exons.
UGAGAUCCUGACCUUUGCUCAAAGAAAAAAAAAACUAAGAUCCUGAACGAGCUGCUCCGUUUCCUGCGGCGUUGCCGCUAGAACAAAUUCCCCCAAGAUCCAGUAGGAGGAGCAUGGCAGAAGCGGCCGUCGGCGGGCCUCACCUCCCUGAGGAGAUCGUCACCUGGGAGAUUCUCAUCCGCCUGCCGCCGAAGCCCCUCGUCCGCUGCCGCGCCGUCUGCCGCUCCUGGCACCGCCGCCUCACCUCCGACGCCAAAUUCCUCUUCGCCCACCACCGCCGCCAGCCCUCGCUCCCGCUCGUCACCACCGAAGACACCCAUGAAAGAAGGAUCGACGCCCUCGACCACAGCACCGGCGAGCGGCGCCCCGUCGCGCGGGCGGCCCGGACCGCAGCCGACGAGCACUUCGAUGUGCUCGCCUCCUGCGACGGCCUCCUUAUCCUCGUCGCCUACGGCGGCGUCUACAUCUGCAACCCGGCGACUCGCCAGCACGCGCCCCUCCCGCUGCUUCACGUCUACUGCAUCGCCGGGUUAUACUUCCACCGCCCGUCGGGGUCCUACCGAGUUCUGUGCUGCUUGAAGACAACCGAGGACGGCCAGUUCCGUGCCGUAUACCAGGUGUACACACUCGGGUCCGGCGACCUCAGGUGCAUCGGGAAGGCUCUCGAGCCGUGGACGUCCGGAGAUCUAGCGCGGGCGAUGCCGAUGAUGGUGUCAUUUCAACCGCACGGCCUGGCAGGCGGCAGGCUUUACUGGCAGCCCAUUAAGUUGCCUGGUGCUGGUGGCAACGGCAAGGUGAACAACAUGCUGGUGUUCGACACCAUGGCCGAGUCCUUCCAGCAUCUGCUUUCGCCAGUCGAGGGCGCCUUUCUUGAGCCGUUUGAGAUGAACGGCACUCUUGGAUUGUACGACUACCAUGGCAGCACGGCUGAUCUCUGGGUUCUAGAGGAUCACGAGAGCUGGGCCUGGUCGUUGAAGCACCGGAUCAAGUUGCAGGUGAUGGCCUUCUCUCUGGUGCCGGACAUCCAAGGAGGCGUGCUCCUUCUUUCUGAAAAUGAGGAAUCAGGCCUUCUAUGGCAAUAUCUGCAGCAUGUUUCUGGUGCCGAUGGUAGUAUCUCCACACGGUAUGAAUGGAGCGCUUAUCUGAAGCUUAGGAGACAUAGGCUCAGAGAAAGUCUUGUUCAGCAUUCCUUCUUCUCGAUGGAAGGUAACAAUGGUGGUGGUGUGGAUGGAAAACCGUUGUUCGAUGGGUUGUCAACUGUGAAGGUGCUUACUGCUGAUAUUUCGGAGCUGCACUAAAGGAAUCCAUGAUGGACAAGUCCGUUGCAUUGUCGCGCGAGUGAGUCACUGGUGAUAAUGUUUAGUACUCCCUCCGAUACAUCCAUUUGAGCGACAAGUAAUAUGGAUCGGAGGGAGUACUAUCUACUAUGUCUUUGCUAUCUAAGUCUGUAUGGUGCAAAGGACCCAAUAAGCAAAAGAUGAGUAACCUGAUACCAUGCCUCAUGUUUCUGGUGUUUCCCCCCUCUUCACAUGAUAGGGAUGCAGAAUAAAGUGGUUGUCAUAUCAGGCUUAUUUAGUUUCUGCACUAUAAACUUUGUAAAACGGUCUGCCAUUUUUGCUACUCAUUUGUGUGCAAAAGAUGCAACAUUUGCUAGGGCUACUUUGUCCU